RNAcentral lists this ribosomal RNA (634 nucleotides) under Pseudosperma dulcamaroides. Its description in RNAcentral is "eukaryotic LSU rRNA". The stretch from base 246 to 399 matches the Rfam family "5.8S ribosomal RNA". Lineage: Eukaryota; Fungi; Basidiomycota; Agaricomycetes; Agaricales; Inocybaceae. The record is from RNAcentral.
GAUAGGCUGCUGCUGGCUCCCUACCAAGGGGGCAUGUGCACGCUUGUCAUCUUUGUUUUUCCACCUGUGCACUCUUUGUAGACCCUAGAUAUGUAAUUGUCUGAGAAAAUCANAUAGGUUGAGGACUGCUGUGUCUUUCAAAGGGGCCAGCUUUGCCUUGUGUAUCUAGGUUCUAUGUCAUUCACAUACUCGUAUAAUGUAAUAGAAUGUUGACCUUAGGUUUUAGUACCUAUAAAGUUACAUACAACUUUCAGCAACGGAUCUCUUGGCUCUCGCAUCGAUGAAGAACGCAGCGAAAUGCGAUAAGUAAUGUGAAUUGCAGAAUUCAGUGAAUCAUCGAAUCUUUGAACGCAUCUUGCGCUCCUUGGUAUUCCGAGGAGCAUGCCUGUUUGAGUGUCAUUAAAUUCUCAACUACACUGAUUUUGUCAGUGCAGCUUGGAUUUGGGGGACCAUAUUUUUUUGCGGGCUUUGUGAAGUCGGCUCCCCUGAAAUUGAUUAGCGGUACCUUANCANAACCGUCUACNGGUGUGAUAAUUUAUCUACGCCUUGGAUGUCUGCAUGAAAGAGGUCAUGCUGCUUCCCAACCUCACUAAUGACAAUCUUGACCUCAAAUCAGGUAGGACUACCCGCUGAA